RNAcentral lists this long non-coding RNA (10707 nucleotides) under Homo sapiens (human). RNAcentral describes it as "HSALNT0133027". The record is from RNAcentral. Lineage: Eukaryota; Metazoa; Chordata; Mammalia; Primates; Hominidae.
GUAAGACAGGAAGGGAGUGAGAUUAAGGUGAGAAGUGGGAGGGGAAGGAGGGAAACCGAGAGGAAUUGAGGGUGGGCUCGGCGUAUCUAGAGCAGUCCGCGGAGGACGCUGAGGCUCGCCGGGGAAGUGCUGUGCCCGAGGCGCCCCAAAGGUGGGCGGCGGUGCCAGCUCAGACCCACGCCUCUGUCCAAGUCCCGACUCCUGCGGACUCGGCUGCAGGCGGGCUCCAUGAGGGCGGGCAGCAGGGCUCAGACGAUCCGGCUCGGUUUGGUCAGCAGACCCCCGGUAACGCCCCGCACCGUCGGCGAUCCCUGCCCCCUUCCACUGCGCCCCCACAAGCCCCGAGCUCGCCAGUCCUUCCCCGCGGCGCUCCGCUCUGUGGCCCCCUCGCAUCCCACCGUGGGGGUGCAGCUCCCCUGGCACAGCCCGACGGUGGGAGAGGGCGGCCAGCUGGACUAAAAGCCCCGUCCCCGGGCGGGACCUUCCUCCCCGCACCCUGACGCGGAGGUUGGCCGGGGGCCUCUGCGUCCCUCUGCCCCGCGCCCUGGAUGGGGAGGGUCUGGGCUCCGCGCCGCGAGGCAGCGCGACGGCUGCGGGCGACUUGGCGUGCGGUGCUGAGGACCCUGGGGGAGUGUGCGCCGCGGGGACGCCGGGGACUCGGGGUCCUAGUGCCACCGGACGCAGCGGGAGUAGCGCAGGUCUGGGGGCGGGGUCUCUCGAGGCGCAGACAACAAGCUAGAUCCUGAGCCCUCUGCUUCAAAGCGGGUAGCGCCUUCGCCCACGCCUUCCCUCCCACCAUCCCUGCCUGGCUGCCACCCGGAAGUCCCCGUCCGCGCCCCGACAGCGCCGCCCUCCGGCUGGCUGCAGCGCGGGCCCUCGGUAGGGGGCGUUCCAAGGCCCCGCCUCCUCGUCACUGCCACGGAUGACGACGCCCCAGGCCCCCGGCCCCGCCUCCGCCUCUGCCUCCGCGGCCAGCACUGGGGAGCGUCCUGGCCUGCGCUUGCUCCCCAACCCCUCCUUGCCCCGCUCUGAGCCGGCGCGUCCUUGCUCCCCCACCACUCUUCUCUCUCGGGCCAGCCGAGCCCAAAAGGCCUCUCCUCUUCUGUUUUUCCAGUUCCCUCCUCAAUUUCACCUCCUCGGAGACCCUCCACCACCCAGAUCUUCAGCGAGCAAGUCACCUUUCCUUUAGAUAGACAGACAGGUUAGAGAUAGAUUAGAGAGAUUAGAUAGAGAUUAGACGGAUAGAUUAGAUAGACUGAUAAGAUGAAAGAUGUAGAUGGUAGAGAUUUGCAUACAUAUGGAUAGAUACAUAUGGAUAGAUCAUAGACAGAUGGAUGAUUGAUACGAUGUGGAUGAUAGAUGGUUGGAUAAAGAUGAUAGUUAUAGAUGAUAAAAAGGCAUAGAUGAUAGAUACAUAUAGAUGACAGAGAUAGAUAGAGAUGAUAUAUAACAUUGUAACACGUAUAGAUAGGCCACAGAUAGGUAGGCAGUGGGUAGAUAGGAGGUAGAUGGAUGGAUAUGCGUAUAGAUAUAGGUAUAUGUCCUGAAGGGACAACCCGGACCCCAGGCUGGCCAGGACAGUACCCAGGCUUUGGCAACCUCCUCAAUAGACACGAAGCUGCAGGUUUUCAGCUGCUUACGCCGGGCAAACUGUAAAGUGCUUUAAAUCCCUGGAACUAACCACAACGGCAGCUUAGCCUGGAAACUCAAGUGCUGGCUGCAGGCAGUUUGAGCGCAGCUCCAGGGCUGCAAGGUUGCCUGCAAGUAACACGACAUUUGUUCAUUCUUUCAAGCAUCUGCUGAGCCUGUUGCAGCUGCCUGUGGCUGGGUUCCGGCACUCAGAGACCCUGGGCCUGCUCGAGAGGGGCUGACAUUAUGCGACCUCAAGAAGCCCGGUUCAUACCCCUCCUUCCUGAUGAGACCUGGAGGUCUAAAUUGCUCCUGAGAUGAAUGCUGUGCACAGCUCCUCACCUGCAGAGAUAUUUGACAGGCAGCAUCCCAGCGCCUUCCUCCCCUGCACAAACUCAGGAAGGGAGCGAUGGCAAGAGAGGGAGGCCAGAUGACAGAUACCUCCACCACCGGGCCUCCAGGCUAGCACUUCCCUCCAUAAUAUGGGGGUCCCCAGGGAGAGGAGGACAAAGGACAUGAAGGCAAGAGCUGAAAACUACCAAAGAAGUUUUUGGUGUCCCCAGGAGAAACUACAGAUCUUCACCAAAGAUGAGUGAGGAGACUGUGAAUGGGCAGACACUUCACAUUCACCCAGGGAAGCCUCCAUCCCCUGGUAAAGACACAAGAACAGGGGAGCUGAACCCUUCGCCUCUGGACUUCGGGACCACCCAUUGUAACUAUUCUUCCUCCAUCCCACCUCUUCAGAGCUGUGACUGGCUGGAGGGAGGUGGGCUGCUGGGCUGCCUCCUCUGGGGAUGGAGACAGGGCAGCCUGGCCACAGGCACAGGAGGCAGGACUCAGGAACAGGCUGCUAGAACGCGCAGGUGACAUUCCAGCUGUACCCAGGCCCAGGUCUGGGCCCCAGUUUCCACCUAGAGGUGGUGUGAGCAGUGUGGCAGCUGGCUCUGACCGCCAAGACAUGGUGAGCUGAGGCUGCAGGGCCGUAACCCUGGCAGGCCCCAGCCACACCUGCAGACACAGCCCUCAGAGGCAGAGGCUAACACGGUUAAUUGGUUCCAACCUUCAGCUAAAAGUAGGAGCAUUGAUCAGGCACCCGUGAGGCUCAGAAGCUGUGGCCUCUGAGGAUGCUGUACUUCCGUGUAAGCUCAAACCCAGAAAAGAGAAAUCCGAUCAGAGGUUGUGGUGCUCACUUCCCAGCCGGGCCAGAGUGGGGCAGAGAGGCGGCAGGCUAUAAAUAGUGGAGGAACCGCCACUGAUAAUCCACUGGAGAGAAGGGAUAGGGCACUCUUCCCCCAGGAAGGAAUGGCAGGCCUCUCCAAGGAACAGCGGGACCUGUCAGAGCAGAGGACAGGAGAUGGUGGCCUCAUCCCCACCCACCCAAGGCCCAGUCCCCUUUCCCUGUCUGUGAAGUGCUUGCUUCUGCCCUGACUCCGUGGAGCAUGGGGACUUACAGGGCAGGCAUAGGAUGAGGGGACUUCAAAUAAUGGUCUUGGGAGUUGAGUUCAGGCUCUCAGUGGAGCCAGGGCUUGGCCAGAGUUCAUAUGAUUUCAGUGUAGGAAGCCGACACCGUCUGUGCAUCCCGACACGGAAGCACAAGUCCACUCUCCUGUCACUCAGCCAUCCCUCCAGAAAUGCAUCCAUCCAUCCAUCCAUCCAAAUAUCUAGUCAUUCAGUAAUUCAUUUGACAAAUAAGAAUUGAGUCCCAAUGAUGUGGCAAGCCCUGUGCUAAGUUCCUUGUGACCUCACCUGUAAACGGUGCUGCUUCUCCCCGUCCUUCUUAGGGUGCUUGUAAGAACCCAUCGAGGAAAGAAAUGUGCUUGCAGCCUGGGAAGUAUCACACAUGUAUCGGUGAGUUGGGGCUUUGACAGAGAGAAGCCUUUGGGUGCUUCCAAGAAGGGAACACCCCAGCCCCUAAGAGCUUCCUUUCCCUCCUUUGGUCCUCAAAAUCUCAGCCAAGGAGGCCUUGAUUGGCAUUCAUGGGCUAUGGCUUUUCAGGUCAACUUUGAACUCUUACGCCUUUUUCCUAAUAUGAGGGUCUAGAAUGUAAAUUUUGAGAUCCUUACUGAAGUAUGCUUCCCCCUAAACUUGCUGUGUGCACUUGGGCAGGCCAGGUGACCUCUCUGUGCAACAGUUUCAUCCACUGUAAAAUGGCAGUGACAUGAGUAACUAUCUCUUAGGGCUGUUGUGAUGAUCAGAGAGUCAGUAUAUGUGAAUUGCUUAGCAUAGUGGCUGGCACAGAGUAGGUACUAUCUAAGGGUGAGCUACUUGUGGAGAUGAUGCAAUCUGGCCCUGGGAAAUGGGGGUUCAGGCUCACCUUUUACAAAGGGACCCUAGGGGGUCCUAUGAGGCAAAUGCUUCUGGCUUUAAGAUACGUCAAGCCUUAGUCUCCUCAGAUUUUAAACCAUCUCCAUAAAACAGCUGUCCUAGGAAGGAAUCUUGGGCUUCUCUCAGAGUCUCAGACCAGAAACUCUGUGUCCUAAGACACUGCAGCCUCUUACAGGAAGGCACUGCAGGUCUCACAGGGAGAGGAAGAGUUAUACAGAACCCUGUCUUCCCUCUUCCUACACUCAUGUGGGUAAAAAGCUUAGAUUUUUCUUGCACUUGGAGUAGAACAAGGGGUACAGCUAAAGUGAUGGACUGCUGAGAGUUUCUAGCUGCUGCUGGAUUCCAUAAGUUCCAUCGGAUUAAGGAUGAGCUUAAUGUAUAAUGUAUAAACCCAUGGACAGAGACACUGCCUUGUUUAAGCAAUGGUUUACAUUCAUAACACAAAUAUAAAUGGAUAGUCAUUUCUUUCUUCAGGGCCCAGCACAAUUCAUUAGUAGCUUCUAGCCUUUUGUCCCUUUCAAGCAGAAAACAGACCCAGCUCAGAGAGCAGUGGCUGGGUCUGCUCAGGACCCAGGAGCCCAAAGCACACAGGAUCCCAAACGCUCCAGAGUCCAUAGAGACUUUGUUGUCAAGCACAUCAGAGAUCAUGACUGCUAUAUAUUCUUGGUGCUUCUUUUCAUCCAUUCAGAGUCUCAAAUGUUCUCUCUUCACUUUCCUGCUUCAUUCAACUAUGCUAAGACUGACAGCCUCCUGAGAUACUAACGUGAUAAGACACAAUCCCUGCCCUCAAGGAACUUUAGGGUAAGCCUGUCUCCCUGACCUUGGCUUCCUGAACUUAGCCUUGUUCCAUAUAAACCUUUUUCCUCCUUCCUACUUUCCUCCCACCAUCAUUGCUGGCUGGUACCAGCUGCUUACUUUGUGUUUCUAGUUGCAUUUCCUUAGCCUCUGUCUCCAGCUGAGCACUGGACUGCACACUGCAGAAAACAAAGGGGAAGAAACAAAGGCACUGGCCUGAAGGAGUUCAUGGCCCACUGGGGAGCUUUUUCAGAAAUAUAACCAAAGAAGCCCCUGCCCUGGAGAGCUUUCAGUCCACAGACAGUGCAUCCUAGAUAGAAAGGGGCCCUCUCUUAAAGAGGUCCAACCCUUCUCAUUCAUGUAACUAUGGCACAAAACAGUAGGUGCCAGUAGCACAAACAGUUCAGAGAAAGAUGCUGCAGAGUGCUGUUGCCUUAGCAUCCCUGGGAAAGGUGCAUGGGCUGUAACCAAGCCCCAUUGUUCCACCUGGGUGAUCAUGGCCAUUGCUAGGGGAGAGCAGAUUUACAUGUGGACACAGGUACUUAUGCUCUACCUGCAGCGACCCAAAACUCUCUUGCUGUUCAAACAUGUCCAAGCAGUCCCCCUGGGUCCAAGGCAGAGGGCCCACUCCAAGUGGGAGACCACAAAAUGACCUUAUACAAACACCAGAAAUUAGGUCUUAGACACAUGAAUGGGACAAAGACUAAGUGUCAAAAUCCCAAACUCAGUCAGCAGCCAAUGGGUGAAGCGGGCGGCAGGAGCAGAGGAGAAUGCAUGCGCUUCCUCCAGUGUCAUCUUUUUCCAUCCCUACGACCCACAGAAGGGUGACAUUAUUCCCCUUUUACAGAUGCAAACACUGAGGCCCAGAGAGGUUAUCUUGCGCAAGGCCCUGCAAUUAGUAAGUGGUAGAACCAAGACCCAAGCUUUUUAUUUUUAAAGCUGGGUCUUUUCAACUAUACCAUUCAGACUACAAAAGCAGAGAAAUAUUUUCCACUUUUUUAUUUGUUAUAAAUAUUUCAUUGAUCAACAUUUAGUUCCUCAGGCACCUGUGUAAGGUCCUCCACGUCCCAGGGCAGGAGGCCCGGGGCUCUAACUCAAGGCCGUGACCCACAGACACACAGGAAAGGCAGUCCCCUCCCUCCCUUCCUGGCCACAGCAGGGCUGGUGCUGCGGUGUCAGCGCUCCAAGGUAUCUGUCGAGGCAAUUUCAGCUCCAGUUUGCUCAAACUCCAGACCAAAGGCUCAGUCGCAGACUCUGAUGUGCCGAACAAAACCAGAGACAGGAACUCGUCUCAAUCACUGAGUCAGCUGGCGGUGAGAAAAUGGGCAGGUGGAAAGCUGGGGAGGGCCCUCCCUCCAUGUCCCCAUUUCCUAGACUGAGCUGGCCCUGCAUUUUCUGCACCCAGGGCUGCUCCCAGAGCAGGCACUAGAACCCUCUGCAGAUCCCAGACCCUGUUCUGCCCUGGAAGCAGUGAGGCACCUCACAGGCCCCCGAAGUCAUCUGAGGCUGGUGGCUGGAGUGCAGUGGCAUGAUCACAGCAAGAAAUCCUCUAACCUCAGCCUUCUGAGUAGCUGGAACUCUAGGCAGUGCCACCACACCCGACUAAUUUUAUUUUUUGUAGAGAUGGGGUCUGGCUGCAUUGCCCAGGCUGGUCUCAAACUCCUGGGCUCAAGGGAUCCUCCUUCCUCAACUUCCCAAAGUGCUGGCAUUACAGGUGUGAGCCACUGUGCCACCUGGGACUGCUUUCUAAAGAGAUUUUCUAUCUUAGAAUCUGUGGGGGCCACUUGAGGAGGAGCUGGUGAGAGGUGGCAUAAAGGUCUGGCCUGUUCCCCUUUAUUUAGGGUUGAGGAACCCCACAGCGAGGGACUGCUAACUCUGCCUUCAGCAUGUCUGGGAGCAGAGUCUUUCCCCUGGCUCCAUGAAGGCCUCCUGCGGAUCAUUUCUCACCUGCUGCGGAGCCACCUGCGGUGCUGACUGUCCCCUCCUGAACCCUGUGCCUCUCUAUGCCUGUCUUCAUUACCAGGGUACGAUGUCCUUCUCCAGCUAGGUGGAUUGGUUCCCAAAGACUCCGGAAUGAGGAACAUUUGCAGACAGCAAACUUAAAACCCUACGAGAAGAAUAGGGUGGGGGAAUUGUGGCUGCAGAUGAGCUUAGGAAGGUCCUUGGAUGUAUUUCUUCACAUGCGUCACAACACCACGCAGCCCUAUACCAAAGACAUGGCACAUCCCGAAGUCUUCCUCAAAGGUAAAUGACAAUCAAUUUCCAAUUUCCAUUAUUUGCUCCAGAGAGGUGGUUCAGGAAUUCCCUCGCCCUCAAGUUUAAAUGAGAUAUUAAUGAAUUAUUUUUGCCUUGUUGCAGACAACAUACCUGUUAGGAGGUGUGUGUGUGUGUGUGUGUGUGUGUGUGUGUGUGUGUGUGUGUGUGUGAUUCUCCAUCCAAGUGUUUACUUCCUUUCUCAUUUCAUGACUUUGGGUUAUUGACUCCUGUCCCUCCCCAACCUCUGCCCUCCCCAGUUGGGUGACCUGGGACCAACUCCCCAACCUCCACAUCUGUCUCCUUAUUAGUGAAAUGGAGCUAUGACAGAACCCAUGAUGUAGGGAUGCUCUAAGAUUUAAAUAAAGUAAUCCAGGUAAAAUGCCUAGUCAAUUGUCUGGCACCUAAUAAGCAUUCAGUCAGUGGUAGCCAUUACUUUCUUAUUAAUAAACUCAAAUAUCACAACCUACCAAGUGUCUGACUAUCCUCAGGGCUUGGCCUCUCCCAGACUUCAUCUGUCCCAUGCUGGCACUGUCAGAACUAUGCCCAUGAGGCCGAAUCACCCUGACUAUUUUGAGGCAACCUUGCUCCCACAUUUCCACCAUCUGUUGAAGGUAUUUCCUCUAUUGACCCCCAGGGAGGCCCAAGAGGGCCAAGUCACAGAUGGGAUGGGGAAGAGAAUCUAGAACUGAUCCCUCUUAAAGACAGUGCAGACUAGCAGACGGCUGCAAAACCUGGGUGUUGGGGCCCUGGGAACUUCCAGAAGUGGACCAUCCAUCCCUACUCCUCCCAGAGUUACACACACAUCCCAAGUUGAGACAGCACCUGUGACUGGCCUGGCCACACACUCACCAUUAGGUGGUCAAGACCGGCUCUCUAAAGUGGCUGCCUCAGGCCCUGUGGCUCCCAGUAACCAAAGUCCACAGGAGGGGUGGUGCAGUCUGAUUGAUCCAGGAAGUGAGCAGUGAUGGGAACAAGGGAUCCCCCCAUCUUUCUACGAGGCCUUGGAGCCGACUGGAGCAUGUCACAGAGGGGUGAGCAGGACUUAUUUCAUCAUAUGUUCAAAUGCUUGUGACAGACUUCCAGACACUUCUGUUCCUGCCUCUUCUCCCAAACACACACCCAUCCACAGGAACCCUGUACUCAUGUCCGCCAGAUUCAUGUCUACUCGAAUAAAAACUUCAAUUCAGUGGUUACGUUUGAUGUCCCUGUGCCUUUCAACACAUUUUUACAUAAUCUGACUUUAGAGCCUUUUCUUUAUAAUAUGCUUCCUUUCUAAGAGGAGCCGAUGCCUUUGGUUAAUGGAGUCUAUUCAAAAAAUACCUAUUGAAUACCUGCUAAGGCCUGCUGAAAGCCAGACACUUGGGGUGCAGGGAGGGGUUGCCAAUGGGAUAGAGGAAGCCAGAGACACAUACUUUCCCUCCAAGAAGCUUAGAGUGGGGGCGGCCUGGGGGAGAUGGAAAUUCACACAACUAAUGCCAGGCUUGGUAAGUACACGGAAAGAAGUGAACACAAAUUGCUUCAGGAACAAAAGCCUAAUUCCUGUGUUUGCAUGGGCCUCUGAUUUCAGGUUUGUGAAUUCAUGAGUUACGAUUUGUUAAUAUACAUCAUGGUGCAUGAAAUAAAGCUCUUGAUCUAAUAACACUAAUACACACCAAAUAGAGUGUGAGCUGGAUGAGUAAUUAGUGAAGCUCUGGGGUGUGACAUUAGCCCUGCUUGUGGAGGGAGGCGUAGCACUGCCUAUGUGUAUAUACAGCCAUGCCUCCAGUAUGGCAGCCACCAGGCACACGUGGCUACUGAGCACUUGAAAUGUGGCUGGUCCAAACUGAAAUGUGCUGUUAAAUACACAUGAGAUAUCAAAGACCAGAUAUCAAAGAAUCAGUACAAGAGAUUAAAACAGCUCAUGAAUACAUUUUGUACUGAUUACAUGUUUAAACAAUAAUAUCUUAUACAGUCAUGCACCAAUCAACAACGGGGAUACAUUCUGAGAAAUGUGUCGUUAGGCGAUUUCAUCAUUGUACGAGCAUCACAGAGUGAGUUACACAUGCCUAGAUGGUGUCGCCUACUACACACCUACGACACACCUAGAUGGUCUAGCCUACUACACACCUAGAUGGUCUAGCCUACUACACACUUAGAUGGUCUAGCCUACUACACACCUAGAUAGUCUAGCCUACUACACUCUUAAUGGUGUUGCCUACUACACACCUAGAUGGUCUAGCCUACUACACACCUAGAUGGUCUAGCCUACUAUACACUUAGAUAGUGUUGCCUACUACACACCUAAAUGGUCUGGCCUACUACACACUUAGAUGGUCUAGCCUACUACACACCUAGAUGGUCUAGCCUACUACACACUUAGAUAGUCUAGCCUACUACACACCUAGAUGGUCUAGCCUACUACACACCUAGAUGGUCUAGCCUACUACACACUUAGAUGGUCUAGCCUACUACACACCUAGAUGGUCUAGCCUACUAAACUCUUAAUGGCGUUGCCUACUACACACCUAGAUGGUCUAGCCUACUACACACUUAGAUGGUCUAGCCUACUACACACCUAGAUGGUCUAGCCUACUAAACUCUUAAUGGCGUUGCCUACUACACACCUAGAUGGUCUAGCCUACUACACACCUAGAUGGUCUAGCCUACUACACACUUAGAUGGUCUAGCCUACUACACAUCUAGAUAGCCUAACCUACUACACACCUAGAUGGUCUAGGCUACUACACCCUUAGAUGGUCUAGCCUACUACACACCUAGAUAGCCUAGCCUACUACACACCUAGAUGGUCUAGCCUGCUACACCCUUAGAUGGUCUAGCCUACUACACACCUAGAUAGUCUAGCCUACUACACACCUAGAUGGUCUAGCCUACUACACACUUCGAUGGUGUUGCCUACUACACACCUAGAUGGUCUAGCCUACUAUACACUUAGAUGCUGUUGCCUACUACACACCUAAAUGCUCUGGCCUACUACACACGUAGAUGGCGUUGCCUACCACACACCUAGGCUAUACGGCAUAGCCUGUUGCUCCUAGGCUACAAACCUGUACAGUACAAUACUGUACUGAAUACAGUAGGCAGUUGUAACACAGUGGUAAGUAUUUGUGAAUCUAAACAUAUUUAAACGUAGAAAAGGUACAAUAAAAUAUGGUAUUAUCAUCUUAUGGGACCAUCCUCAUAUAUGCAGUCCACCAUUGACUGAAAUGUUAUUAUGUGGCAUGUGACUAUGUAUAUUGGGUUAAAUAAAAUAUGUUAUAGAAUUAAAAUUAAUUUCAUCUUACUUCUUUUUACUUUUUUUGUUUUAUUGUAGCUACUGGAAAAUUUAAAACCCCAAAUGUGAUUCACAUUUAUGGUCCACCUUAUAUUCCUAUUGGCCAAUGCAGAUCUAGAGCAUUCAUAUUCGUUUCGUCAUUUAAUUCUCACCACCAUGCUACAAAGUAGGCAUUCACCCCCAUUUUACAGUCAAGCUAAUUGAGGCUCAGAGAAGUAGUAAAUUACUCCAAGUCACAUGACAUUAGGCUUCAGCAACUCACUUGAGCUGAUGACUAUCUUGGGCCAGUGGCUCAAGGCCUUGCAGCAAGAUGAAGGCCAAGACAACCACGUCUACUGGCAGUGUGGCCUGGGGCCAGUUAUUUGCUCCAUUACUUGUGGGUAAGAACAGAAGGAGAGUAGGUACUCCGUGUGUUCAACAAGUGAGGACGG